This 510-nucleotide ribosomal RNA is filed under the name uncultured bacterium. RNAcentral's name for it is "partial 16S ribosomal RNA". It matches the Rfam family "Bacterial small subunit ribosomal RNA", at positions 28 to 507 of the family's 1533-position model. The record is from RNAcentral.
GACGAACGCUGGCGGCGUGCUUAACACAUGCAAGUCGAACGAAGAGCGAUGGAAGCUUGCUUCUAUCAAUCUUAGUGGCGAACGGGUGAGUAACGCGUAAUCAACCUGCCCUUCAGAGGGGGACAACAGUUGGAAACGACUGCUAAUACCGCAUACGAUCUAAUCUCGGCAUCGAGGAUAGAUGAAAGGUGGCCUCUACAUGUAAGCUAUCACUGUAGGAGGGGAUUGCGUCUGAUUAGCUAGUUGGAGGGGUAACGGCCCACCAAGGCGAUGAUCAGUAGCCGGUCUAAGAGGAUGAGCGGCCACAUUGGGACUGAGACACGGCCCAGACUCCUACGGGAGGCAGCAGUGGGGAAUCUUCCGCAAUGGACGAAAGUCUGACGGAGCAACGCCGCGUGAGCGAUGACGGCCUUCGGGUUGUAAAGCUCUGUUAAUCGGGACGAAAGGCCUUCUUGCGAAUAGUGAGAAGGAUUGACGGUACCGGAAUAGAAAGCCACGGCUAACUACGUG